RNAcentral lists this ribosomal RNA (1131 nucleotides) under Triticum aestivum (bread wheat). RNAcentral's name for it is "partial small subunit ribosomal RNA". Lineage: Eukaryota; Viridiplantae; Streptophyta; Magnoliopsida; Poales; Poaceae. The record is from RNAcentral.
AUGGGAAGAAAAAUUAUGGGAAGGGAUCACCUUGCUUUCUCCAACAGGAAUAAUCUAGGCAGUCGGCUAAUCACCACAACCCGCGAUUUUGAUGUCUCCAAAUCAUGUUGCCCAUCCGCAGAUGAUUCAAUUUAUAAAAUGAGACCUCUUUCUAUUCAUGACUCCAGAAGGCUCUUCCAUAAAAGAAUAUUUCCUGAUGAUAGAGGAUGUCCAAGUGAAUUUGAACAAGUGUCUAAAGACAUAUUGAAGAAAUGUGGUGGAGUACCACUAGCCAUCAUUACUAUUGCUAGUGCUUUGGCUAGUGGCCAGCAGGUGAAAUCAAAGCAUGAGUGGGAUAUUCUGCUCCAGUCUCUUGGCUCCGGACUAACAGAAGAUAACAGUUUGGUUGAGAUGCGAAGAAUACUAUCUUUCAGCUAUUAUAAUCUACCAUCUCAUCUGAAAACUUGUCUAUUGUACCUAUGUAUAUAUCCAGAAGAUAGCAAGAUUGAUAGAGAUAGACUGAUAUGGAAGUGGGUGGCUGAAGGAUUUGUCCACUGUGGAAACCAAGGGACUAGCCUGUUUUUGGUCGGAUUAAACUACUUCAACCAGCUCAUUAAUAGAAGUAUGAUCCAGGCAAUAUAUGAUGGUCUAGGCCAGGUACAUGCUUGCCGUGUACAUGACAUGGUUCUUGAUCUUAUCUGCAACUUGUCAUGUGAAGCAAAGUUUGUUAAUUUAUUGGAUGGUACUGGGGAUAGCAUGUCUUUUCAAGGCAAUGUUCGUCGUUUGUCCCUUCAGAAUAAAAAUGAAGAUCAUCACGGCACACCUCUCAGAAAUUUCAUGGGUAUUUCACGAGUGAGGUCCAUUACUAUCUUUACAUCUGCUAUUAAUAUCAUGCCAGCCCUGUCAAGGUUUGAAGUUCUGCGUGUACUUGAUUUGUCUGACUGUAAUCUGGGAAAAAGUAGCAGCCUGCAACAUAACCUCAAGGGUGUUGGACACCUAAUUCACCUGAGGUACCUUGGUCUAGCAGAUACUGGAAUCAGGAAACUCUCGGCUGAGAUAGGAAACCUGCAGUUUUUGGAGGUAUUGGAUCUUGGAAGCAAUUAUGAGCUAGAUGAAUUGCCUUCCACUGUUUUUAAAUUGAGAAGAUUAUAA